CAGUAGCCGCGGUAAUACGUAGGGUCCGAGCGUUGUCCGGAAUUAUUGGGCGUAAAGGGCUCGUAGGCGGUUUGUUGCGUCGGGAGUGAAAACCCAGGGCUUAACUUUGGGCUUGCUUUCGAUACGGGCAGACUUGAGGCAUUGAGGGGAGAACGGAAUUCCUGGUGUAGCGGUGAAAUGCGCAGAUAUCAGGAGGAACACCGGUGGCGAAGGCGGUUCUCUGGCAAUGUUCUGACGCUGAGGAGCGAAAGUGUGGGGAGCGAACAGGAUUAGAUACCCCCGUAGUCCCUGUCUCUUAUAC
RNAcentral lists this ribosomal RNA (301 nucleotides) under uncultured bacterium. Its description in RNAcentral is "partial 16S ribosomal RNA". It matches the Rfam family "Bacterial small subunit ribosomal RNA", at positions 509 to 807 of the family's 1533-position model. The record is from RNAcentral.